CUCAAAGCAGGCUGUGGGGGCAGUGAGAUGCGUGUCCCUACACGGCUGUCCUCCCGUGACAGCCCAGCAGGCCACAGCUGUGAUGACAAGGGGCGUCGGGAGACUCCGUUUACCCUGUCAGUUGCUGGUGAUAUAUGGAGAGAGAGCGAUGUAUACACUGGAAUGCUCAAUCACUGAUUCCAAGUGAGAAGUCGGCCCUCUUCGCUGCAGCCCAACCAUGCUCAGUUAAUUCCCCACAACUCUGCUGCUCUUCACACUGCAGCCACAGCAAGCGGCUGGUCCAUCUAUGAACGGCACAUUCUCCAUUGUGCACGUGGCCCUGCCCACCACCCCUCUCUCCCUCACAAAACUUCCUGACACCACUCAAAUCUCUCUCUCUUUCCAAAAAAUCCACGAGGCUCCUGCACCUCGGGCCUCACCACCUCGGGCUCCAUCACCUCCCAGUAGCAUCACAAGGCUCCAGCACAGGGGCUGGUAGAGGACAUUCGUGAAGGAAAGAACGAAGGAAAUGUCAGAGUGGAGCAACAAUCCUGGAAAGUAUUUAGGACGCCUUCACAGUCUUGAUCAGUAGAAUCUGGAGCAAGGAGGCAAAGGACUGUAUGCCAAACAGGCUAUGUAUAUAUAAUGUGUUUUAAAAAGUACAUUGUCUGGGUGACAGAAGAGAAUGACUUGUUGUCUUUUCUCCAAAACAAUAAACAAACUUC
This is a long non-coding RNA of Heterocephalus glaber (naked mole-rat), 704 nucleotides long. NCBI's taxonomy places the organism in Eukaryota, Metazoa, Chordata, Mammalia, Rodentia, Bathyergidae. The record is from Ensembl.